AAUGAAGCUUCGAUUGCUGAUGUUAUUAUUUACAGCGAUAAAGCUUAUUUUUCUGAGUACAAUGACCCUUUGUACGACCACAAAGAGUUUGAAAUGGAUUUUUAAAUCAAUUUUGAAAAAUUAUCCUCGCGGUCCUUCUUGACAGAAAAGCUCCUACUUGACAGCUCCUUCCAAGGGGACCAUAGUUGAUCCAUAGACUAAUUAAAGACUAAACACUCCGAACAUUUUUUAAAAAAAAUAUGACUCAUAUGCUGUGAACCGCGUGAACCACGUUGAACCGCAUCGGCUUACCCCCCGUAUGACAGAUUUCCUUGGCCGCACUGCCUUUUUCAAUUUUGCUUUGUGCUGUUUUGCGCGCGCAUCGCAUCGAGGCGCGCAUCGUGUUUGUUUUUGUUUUCGCAUCAGCUGGGCGGUGGAAUUUUUGUUUUUGUUGCCGAACUCCUUCGAUUAUUAUUCAAACAAAAUGGGAUUUCGCUGUCAUGUCCUUGACCACGCCCGUGCACCGGCCUCCCAGAUAAAUGGAGCGGGGUCAUUCGGUGCCCACUACCACCAAAACAAGUUGAAGGAACUUCAGUUGGAAAAGCAAGAACUGGCGGAGAAGAAUGCUCGAGGGAAGGCGUGAAAUGACCAGGCUGAAGAGUGCCGUUACCGUUCCUCAAGGACGUGUGCAAGAAGAAGGCUUCCCUACCAACGUAGACCCUGCCACCGAGAAGAACCGCAUCCGCGAGGGGAAGGCCCAACCUGGGGCUACCGCAGCCAAGUUGUCGACUUAUGUGUGGUGUAUUUGUGUGUACGUUACUGAUGUAAAUUUGUGGUUAAGUUUUAAUUGAAAAUAUAUAAAAUUUACAGCUUUU
Molecule: long non-coding RNA, 854 nt
Organism: Culex pipiens pallens (northern house mosquito)
Lineage: Eukaryota; Metazoa; Arthropoda; Insecta; Diptera; Culicidae
Exons: 2
Source: RefSeq, a predicted model, not a curated record